Molecule: ribosomal RNA, 433 nt
Filed under: uncultured bacterium
Lineage: Bacteria
Description: partial 16S ribosomal RNA
Rfam family: Bacterial small subunit ribosomal RNA
Source: RNAcentral
AACGAACGCUGGCGGCAGGCUUAACACAUGCAAGUCGAACGCACCUUUCGGGGUGAGUGGCAGACGGGUGAGUAACGCGUGGGAAUCUACCCUUCUCUACGGGAUAGCUCCGGGAAACUGGAAUUAAUACCGUAUACGUCCUGAGGGAGAAAGAUUUAUCGGGGAAGGAUGAGCCCGCGUUGGAUUAGCUAGUUGGUGGGGUAAAGGCCUACCAAGGCGACGAUCCAUAGCUGGUCUAAGAGGAUGAUCAGCCACAUUGGGACUGAGACACGGCCCAAACUCCUACGGGAGGCAGCAGUGGGGAAUAUUGGACAAUGGGCGCAAGCCUGAUCCAGCCAUGCCGCGUGAGUGAUGAAGGCCCUAGGGUUGUAAAGCUCUUUCAGUGGGGACGAUAAUGACGGUACCCACAGAAGAAGCCCCGGCUAGCUUCGUG